Molecule: ribosomal RNA, 433 nt
Filed under: uncultured bacterium
Lineage: Bacteria
Description: partial 16S ribosomal RNA
Rfam family: Bacterial small subunit ribosomal RNA
Source: RNAcentral
AGCGAACGCUGGCGGCAGGCUUAACACAUGCAAGUCGAGCGGGCCCUUCGGGGUCAGCGGCAGACGGGUGAGUAACACGUGGGAACGUACCCUUUGGUUCGGAAUAACGCUGGGAAACUAGCGCUCAUACCGGAUACGCCCUUUUGGGGAAAGGCUUGAUGCCGAAGGAUCGGCCCGCGUGUGAUUAGCUUGUUGGUAGGGUAAUGGCCUACCAAGGCGACAAUCAGUAGCUGGUCAGAGAGGAUGAUCAGCCACACUGGGACUGAGACACGGCCCAGACUACUACGGGAGGGAGCAGUGGGGAAUAUAGGAAAAUGGGCGCAAGCAUGAUCGAGCCAGGGCGCGUGAGUGAUGAAGGCGUUAGGGUAGUAAAGCACUUUUGUACGGGACGAUAAUGACGGUACCGGAAGAAUAAGCCCCGGCUAACUUCGUG